UGGGGAAUAUUGGACAAUGGGCGAAAGCCUGAUCCAGCCAUGCCGCGUGUGUGGAGAAGGUCUUCGGAUUGUAAAGCACUCUAAGUUGGGAGGAAGGGCAUUAACCUAAUACGUUAGUGUUUUGACGUUACCGACAGAAUAAGCACCGGCUAACUCUGUGCCAGCAGCCGCGGUAAUACAGAGCGUGCAAGCGUUAAUCGGAAUUACUGGGCGUAAAGCGCGCGUAGGUGGUUUGUUAAGUUGGAUGUGAAAGCCCCGGGCUCAACCUGGGAACUGCAUUCAAAACUGACAAGCUAGAGUAUGGUAGAGGGUGGUGGAAUUUCCUGUGUAGCGGUGAAAUGCGUAGAUAUAGGAAGGAACACCAGUGGCGAAGGCGACCACCUGGACUGAUACUGACACUGAGGUGCGAAAGCGUGGGGAGCAAACA
Molecule: ribosomal RNA, 427 nt
Filed under: uncultured Pseudomonas sp.
Lineage: Bacteria; Pseudomonadati; Pseudomonadota; Gammaproteobacteria; Pseudomonadales; Pseudomonadaceae
Description: bacterial SSU rRNA
Rfam family: Bacterial small subunit ribosomal RNA
Source: RNAcentral